AGAGCGAACGCUGGCGGCAGGCCUAAUACAUGCAAGUCGAACGGACCCUUCGGGGUUAGUGGCGGACGGGUGAGUAACACGUGGGAACGUGCCCUUUGGUUCGGAACAACUCAGGGAAACUUGAGCUAAUACCGAAUGUGCCCUUCGGGGGAAAGAUUUAUCGCCAUUGGAGCGGCCCGCGUCUGAUUAGCUAGUUGGUGAGGUAAAGGCUCACCAAGGCGACGAUCAGUAGCUGGUCUGAGAGGAUGACCAGCAUCACUGGGACUGAGACACGGCCCAGACUCCUACGGGAGGCAGCAGUGGGGAAUAUUGGACAAUGGGCGCAAGCCUGAUCCAGCCAUGCCGCGUGGAUGAUGAAGGCCUUAGGGUUGUAAAGUCCUUUUAACGGGGAAGAUAAUGACGGUACCCGUAGAAUAAGCCCGGCUAACUUCGUGCCAGCAGCCGC
RNAcentral lists this ribosomal RNA (445 nucleotides) under uncultured bacterium. RNAcentral describes it as "SSU rRNA". It matches the Rfam family "Bacterial small subunit ribosomal RNA", at positions 26 to 518 of the family's 1533-position model. The record is from RNAcentral.